Molecule: ribosomal RNA, 487 nt
Filed under: Veillonella parvula
Lineage: Bacteria; Bacillati; Bacillota; Negativicutes; Veillonellales; Veillonellaceae
Description: bacterial SSU rRNA
Rfam family: Bacterial small subunit ribosomal RNA
Source: RNAcentral
GACGAACGCUGGCGGCGUGCUUAACACAUGCAAGUCGAACGAAGAGCGAUGGAAGCUUGCUUCUAUCAAUCUUAGUGGCGAACGGGUGAGUAACGCGUAAUCAACCUGCCCUUCAGAGGGGGACAACAGUUGGAAACGACUGCUAAUACCGCAUACGAUCUAAUCUUGGCAUCGAGGAUAGAUGAAAGGUGGCCUCUACAUGUAAGCUAUCACAGAAGGAGGGGAUUGCGUCUGAUUAGCUAGUUGGAGGGGUAACGGCCCACCAAGGCGAUGAUCAGUAGCCGGUCUGAGAGGAUGAACGGCCACAUUGGGACUGAGACACGGCCCAGACUUCUACGGGAGGCAGCAGUGGGGAAUCCUCCGCAAUGGACGAAAGUCUGACGGAGCAACGCCGCGUGAGUGAUGACGGGCUCCGGGUUGUAAAGCUCUGUUAAUCGGGACGAAAGGCCUUCUUGCGAAUAGUGAGAAGGAUCUACGUACCGGAAUA